Molecule: long non-coding RNA, 972 nt
Organism: Saccostrea cuccullata (small rock oyster)
Lineage: Eukaryota; Metazoa; Mollusca; Bivalvia; Ostreida; Ostreidae
Exons: 2
Source: RefSeq, a predicted model, not a curated record
UCAUAUUCAUUGAGGAUUUUCAAUAUUUAACAGGUAAAACAGGAACUUCAAUUGUGAACAUUGCAGAGAACACACUCAUCAGAAGAUGACCCUCAGAAAUAGGACAAUUAAUGAAUAAAAAGGACAGAGGCAGAUUUGAAGGAGAUGCAUGAAAUGAGGAAUAUUUCAAAGAUUGCCUGAGCAUAACCACUGCUACUGGAUAAACAUAUGGCAAUAUAAAAGAGCAGGGUCAAUGGAGGUAUCAUACAGUAUAGGCCAUGAGAGACCCUGAAGAAGAAAGUAUGGAAGAGAAACAAAAAUAAAACCAUUUUGACAUUUAUUGAAAUAUAGGAUCAAAGCCUUACAUGUAAAAUUUGGGCAUGUAAUGACUUUUCUCUUGCUCUAAGACUUAUAACAGUGAUGAUUUGAUUUAAUAUCUUUAUCCCGAUUUGUCGAAAAGAUUUGGACAUAGUGCAUCAAUUAUUUUAAAGUUUUGAUACAACGAAUUCAUUCAUUGUACUUGUAACUGGGUUUUCUGGUGCGACACUGUUUAAUCGGCUUCAAAACUAAGUUUGUGAUUUCCAAACCAGAUUAAUGAGAUACAUGUAAUAUCUUUUAACAUCGGUGACUAUUAAAUCCAUUCUUUUACAUCUCAGAAGUAUUUUUAUUAUUACAGGGAAAAUAUGCAUUGUACAUGUAUCUGUAAUAAACAGGAUUAUAGAAAUUUUCCAUAUAAUACAACACAAUCUUAGCAACUGAAGGCAAAUAUUUUAUCAAGGGUGUGAUCUAUUUAUCAAUAUGGUUUUCAGCAUCUUGCUCUACCUGUAAUGACUUGCUCCAAGUUCCAAUAUUUAAAUUUAAAUUUUGCAAACAUGGUUAUAAAAUUCUUUAAAAGCCAAAUAGUUUAGGCACAAAAUGCUUAUAUAUUUCCUAUCAUUUGUAAAGUGUACACUGAAUGAGAUGUGGAAUGUUAGAAUUAAAGUAUUAAAUAUG